Long non-coding RNA from Gossypium arboreum, 563 nucleotides. RefSeq lists it as uncharacterized. NCBI's taxonomy places the organism in Eukaryota, Viridiplantae, Streptophyta, Magnoliopsida, Malvales, Malvaceae. The transcript has 2 exons. The record is from RefSeq and is a predicted model, not a curated record.
UGAAUAGAUACUGAAUAACAUUCUUUGCCCCAACCUCGAAAUUGCCCAUUCAAAACACGUAGGAAUGCUAAAAGAUUAUUAUUUUUUCAUUUUUGCCCUCAUUCCCUUCUCCAUUUUCCAAAGCCCUAAAACACCAUUGCUCCUCACCAACUUCUUCAAUCUUUUUCUCAUAGGAAUCGAGAUCAUAAAAAUUUCUUAAUUAAGGGCAAAAUCUUCAGCAAGGAAAAAAUCCAGACUCAAUUGAAGAACACCAGAUCAUAGAAUUGCUAAUCAAUCUCUCAGUACUGAUUCAGAUUUCUUGAACCGAAAGCAAGUAAUUUUCAAAGAAGCUUGUGCAACAUAGGUUAGAUAAAUAGUAGACUUUAACUCAACAUCCUACAAGAAUCCUGUACUCAACAUCGGUGAUGUCCUCUUUUGUGUUUUUGGCAUGUACUUAGGCAUAUUAGUUGAUUAAAAUAUUUCGUCUAUAGAUAAUUUGGAUGAAUGUUACGUGUAUGAUAUAUAACUUAUAAUCUUGGUAAAUGAUAUAGAUAUUUUGAUAUAAUUAUAUUUAUAUUUGUAAA